This 483-nucleotide ribosomal RNA is filed under the name uncultured bacterium. RNAcentral describes it as "partial 16S ribosomal RNA". It matches the Rfam family "Bacterial small subunit ribosomal RNA", at positions 30 to 506 of the family's 1533-position model. The record is from RNAcentral.
AUUGAACGCUGGCGGCAGGCCUAACACAUGCAAGUCGAGCGGAUGAAGGGAGCUUGCUCCUGGAUUCAGCGGCGGACGGGUGAGUAAUGCCUAGGAAUCUGCCUGGUAAUGGGGGAUAACGUCCGGAAACGGGCGCUAAUACCGCAUACGUCCUGAGGGAGAAAGUGGGGGAUCUUCGGACCUCACGCUAUCAGAUGAGCCUAGGUCGGAUUAGCUAGUUGGUGGGGUAAAGGCCUACCAAGGCGACGAUCCGUAACUGGUCUGAGAGGAUGAUCAGUCACACUGGAACUGAGACACGGUCCAGACUCCUACGGGAGGCAGCAGUGGGGAAUAUUGGACAAUGGGCGAAAGCCUGAUCCAGCCAUGCCGCGUGUGUGAAGAAGGUCUUCGGAUUGUAAAGCACUUUAAGUUGGGAGGAAGGGCAGUAAGUCAAUACCUUGCUGUUUUGACGUUACCAACAGAAUAAGCACCGGCUAACUUCGU